Molecule: ribosomal RNA, 3927 nt
Filed under: Staphylococcus aureus
Lineage: Bacteria; Bacillati; Bacillota; Bacilli; Caryophanales; Staphylococcaceae
Description: bacterial LSU rRNA
Rfam family: Bacterial large subunit ribosomal RNA
Source: RNAcentral
UUAAGUUAUUAAGGGCGCACGGUGGAUGCCUUGGCACUAGAAGCCGAUGAAGGACGUUACUAACGACGAUAUGCUUUGGGGAGCUGUAAGUAAGCUUUGAUCCAGAGAUUUCCGAAUGGGGAAACCCAGCAUGAGUUAUGUCAUGUUAUCGAUAUGUGAAUACAUAGCAUAUCAGAAGGCACACCCGGAGAACUGAAACAUCUUAGUACCCGGAGGAAGAGAAAGAAAAUUCGAUUCCCUUAGUAGCGGCGAGCGAAACGGGAAGAGCCCAAACCAACAAGCUUGCUUGUUGGGGUUGUAGGACACUCUAUACGGAGUUACAAAGGACGACAUUAGACGAAUCAUCUGGAAAGAUGAAUCAAAGAAGGUAAUAAUCCUGUAGUCGAAAAUGUUGUCUCUCUUGAGUGGAUCCUGAGUACGACGGAGCACGUGAAAUUCCGUCGGAAUCUGGGAGGACCAUCUCCUAAGGCUAAAUACUCUCUAGUGACCGAUAGUGAACCAGUACCGUGAGGGAAAGGUGAAAAGCACCCCGGAAGGGGAGUGAAAUAGAACCUGAAACCGUGUGCUUACAAGUAGUCAGAGCCCGUUAAUGGGUGAUGGCGUGCCUUUUGUAGAAUGAACCGGCGAGUUACGAUUUGAUGCAAGGUUAAGCAGUAAAUGUGGAGCCGUAGCGAAAGCGAGUCUGAAUAGGGCGUUUAGUAUUUGGUCGUAGACCCGAAACCAGGUGAUCUACCCUUGGUCAGGUUGAAGUUCAGGUAACACUGAAUGGAGGACCGAACCGACUUACGUUGAAAAGUGAGCGGAUGAACUGAGGGUAGCGGAGAAAUUCCAAUCGAACCUGGAGAUAGCUGGUUCUCUCCGAAAUAGCUUUAGGGCUAGCCUCAAGUGAUGAUUAUUGGAGGUAGAGCACUGUUUGGACGAGGGGCCCCUCUCGGGUUACCGAAUUCAGACAAACUCCGAAUGCCAAUUAAUUUAACUUGGGAGUCAGAACAUGGGUGAUAAGGUCCGUGUUCGAAAGGGAAACAGCCCAGACCACCAGCUAAGGUCCCAAAAUAUAUGUUAAGUGGUAAAGGAUGUGGCGUUGCCCAGACAACUAGGAUGUUGGCUUAGAAGCAGCCAUCAUUUAAAGAGUGCGUAAUAGCUCACUAGUCGAGUGACACUGCGCCGAAAAUGUACCGGGGCUAAACAUAUUACCGAAGCUGUGGAUUGUCCUUUGGACAAUGGUAGGAGAGCGUUCUAAGGGCGUUGAAGCAUGAUCGUAAGGACAUGUGGAGCGCUUAGAAGUGAGAAUGCCGGUGUGAGUAGCGAAAGACGGGUGAGAAUCCCGUCCACCGAUUGACUAAGGUUUCCAGAGGAAGGCUCGUCCGCUCUGGGUUAGUCGGGUCCUAAGCUGAGGCCGACAGGCGUAGGCGAUGGAUAACAGGUUGAUAUUCCUGUACCACCUAUAAUCGUUUUAAUCGAUGGGGGGACGCAGUAGGAUAGGCGAAGCGUGCGAUUGGAUUGCACGUCUAAGCAGUAAGGCUGAGUAUUAGGCAAAUCCGGUACUCGUUAAGGCUGAGCUGUGAUGGGGAGAAGACAUUGAGUCUUCGAGUCGUUGAUUUCACACUGCCGAGAAAAGCCUCUAGAUAGAAAAUAGGUGCCCGUACCGCAAACCGACACAGGUAGUCAAGAUGAGAAUUCUAAGGUGAGCGAGCGAACUCUCGUUAAGGAACUCGGCAAAAUGACCCCGUAACUUCGGGAGAAGGGGUGCUCUUUAGGGUUAACGCCCAGAAGAGCCGCAGUGAAUAGGCCCAAGCGACUGUUUAUCAAAAACACAGGUCUCUGCUAAACCGUAAGGUGAUGUAUAGGGGCUGACGCCUGCCCGGUGCUGGAAGGUUAAGAGGAGUGGUUAGCUUCUGCGAAGCUACGAAUCGAAGCCCCAGUAAACGGCGGCCGUAACUAUAACGGUCCUAAGGUAGCGAAAUUCCUUGUCGGGUAAGUUCCGACCCGCACGAAAGGCGUAACGAUUUGGGCACUGUCUCAACGAGAGACUCGGUGAAAUCAUAGUACCUGUGAAGAUGCAGGUUACCCGCGACAGGNAUGUGGCGUUGCCCAGACAACUAGGAUGUUGGCUUAGAAGCAGCCAUCAUUUAAAGAGUGCGUAAUAGCUCACUAGUCGAGUGACACUGCGCCGAAAAUGUACCGGGGCUAAACAUAUUACCGAAGCUGUGGAUUGUCCUUUGGACAAUGGUAGGAGAGCGUUCUAAGGGCGUUGAAGCAUGAUCGUAAGGACAUGUGGAGCGCUUAGAAGUGAGAAUGCCGGUGUGAGUAGCGAAAGACGGGUGAGAAUCCCGUCCACCGAUUGACUAAGGUUUCCAGAGGAAGGCUCGUCCGCUCUGGGUUAGUCGGGUCCUAAGCUGAGGCCGACAGGCGUAGGCGAUGGAUAACAGGUUGAUAUUCCUGUACCACCUAUAAUCGUUUUAAUCGAUGGGGGGACGCAGUAGGAUAGGCGAAGCGUGCGAUUGGAUUGCACGUCUAAGCAGUAAGGCUGAGUAUUAGGCAAAUCCGGUACUCGUUAAGGCUGAGCUGUGAUGGGGAGAAGACAUUGUGUCUUCGAGUCGUUGAUUUCACACUGCCGAGAAAAGCCUCUAGAUAGAAAAUAGGUGCCCGUACCGCAAACCGACACAGGUAGUCAAGAUGAGAAUUCUAAGGUGAGCGAGCGAACUCUCGUUAAGGAACUCGGCAAAAUGACCCCGUAACUUCGGGAGAAGGGGUGCUCUUUAGGGUUAACGCCCAGAAGAGCCGCAGUGAAUAGGCCCAAGCGACUGUUUAUCAAAAACACAGGUCUCUGCUAAACCGUAAGGUGAUGUAUAGGGGCUGACGCCUGCCCGGUGCUGGAAGGUUAAGAGGAGUGGUUAGCUUCUGCGAAGCUACGAAUCGAAGCCCCAGUAAACGGCGGCCGUAACUAUAACGGUCCUAAGGUAGCGAAAUUCCUUGUCGGGUAAGUUCCGACCCGCACGAAAGGCGUAACGAUUUGGGCACUGUCUCAACGAGAGACUCGGUGAAAUCAUAGUACCUGUGAAGAUGCAGGUUACCCGCGACAGGACGGAAAGACCCCGUGGAGCUUUACUGUAGCCUGAUAUUGAAAUUCGGCACAGCUUGUACAGGAUAGGUAGGAGCCUUUGAAACGUGAGCGCUAGCUUACGUGGAGGCGCUGGUGGGAUACUACCCUAGCUGUGUUGGCUUUCUAACCCGCACCACUUAUCGUGGUGGGAGACAGUGUCAGGCGGGCAGUUUGACUGGGGCGGUCGCCUCCUAAAAGGUAACGGAGGCGCUCAAAGGUUCCCUCAGAAUGGUUGGAAAUCAUUCAUAGAGUGUAAAGGCAUAAGGGAGCUUGACUGCGAGACCUACAAGUCGAGCAGGGUCGAAAGACGGACUUAGUGAUCCGGUGGUUCCGCAUGGAAGGGCCAUCGCUCAACGGAUAAAAGCUACCCCGGGGAUAACAGGCUUAUCUCCCCCAAGAGUUCACAUCGACGGGGAGGUUUGGCACCUCGAUGUCGGCUCAUCGCAUCCUGGGGCUGUAGUCGGUCCCAAGGGUUGGGCUGUUCGCCCAUUAAAGCGGUACGCGAGCUGGGUUCAGAACGUCGUGAGACAGUUCGGUCCCUAUCCGUCGUGGGCGUAGGAAAUUUGAGAGGAGCUGUCCUUAGUACGAGAGGACCGGGAUGGACAUACCUCUGGUGUACCAGUUGUCGUGCCAACGGCAUAGCUGGGUAGCUAUGUGUGGACGGGAUAAGUGCUGAAAGCAUCUAAGCAUGAAGCCCCCCUCAAGAUGAGAUUUCCCAACUUCGGUUAUAAGAUCCCUCAAAGAUGAUGAGGUUAAUAGGUUCGAGGUGGAAGCAUGGUGACAUGUGGAGCUGACGAAUACUAAUCGAUCGAAGACUUAAUCAA